RNAcentral lists this small RNA (283 nucleotides) under Methyloprofundus sedimenti. RNAcentral's name for it is "5' ureB small RNA". It matches the Rfam family "5' ureB small RNA". Lineage: Bacteria; Pseudomonadati; Pseudomonadota; Gammaproteobacteria; Methylococcales; Methylococcaceae. The record is from Rfam by way of RNAcentral.
CUUCUUCAAUUUGUUGCGGACAGACAAAGUGAAUAUGUGCGUCUAUACCACCGGCGGUUAGAAUCUUGCCUUCACCGGCAAUAAUUUCCGUACCGGGGCCAAUAAUAAUAUCCACACCCGCCUGGGUAUCUGGAUUACCCGCUUUACCAAUCCGUGCAAUGCGCCCUUCUUUGAUACCGACAUCGGCUUUAAUAAUGCCCCAAUGAUCAACAAUCAAGGCAUUGGUAAUCACCAAAUCCAUCGCCGUACUUGAAUCACACUGACUUUGACCCAUACCAUCACG